Molecule: long non-coding RNA, 2365 nt
Filed under: Ursus americanus (American black bear)
Lineage: Eukaryota; Metazoa; Chordata; Mammalia; Carnivora; Ursidae
Description: lncRNA (ENSUAMG00000005892.1)
Source: RNAcentral
CUCUGCUCUCUAGGUCACCCCCAGGCAACUUAGCAGGUCCAGCUGCUCGGUUACGGUUGGGCCCUGCUGGGCUCUGGAUGCCACCGCAUGAAUGAGCGGGCUGUGUUUGCACCUCGGCUGGCAGCUCUCCAAGCGCCCAGUGCCCGGCCCCACCCCAGCGCGCACUCAGCACAAGGACCAGCCCUCAGUGACUGAAUGCAUCAAUGAGGACACGCCUGGCGGACAGUCAAGAUUGCUUCCUGGUGAAGCAGAAUCACAGUGUGGAGCCCGGUGUGGAAGCGCUCAUUUUGGAAUCUUGUCCAAGAAGCGUCCUCUAGAUUGCUAACAUGGGGGGGGGCAAACUCCCCAGUCCCCACCUCCACGCAUACACGGUUUUUACCAGUUAGCUGUUCGGUAACCAGGAAGUUUGGACGCCAAUGUCUUCCUUCCAACCUAAGAGAAAAGUCACCUUUACCCCUCAGCCCUCGGCGUGCGCCGCCCCACGCCGCGCCUCCCCUGCCCGGCUGCUGGCCCAAGUGCUGACUGGGAGCGGCUGCUCUUGGCGUCAAGCCCCAGAACAUCCUGUACCGCUGAGAGGCUGGGCCGGCCCUCCCUGGACGGCGCGGGAUGGGAAGCGACCAGCCCGGGGUGAGGACGGAGACAAUACGGGCUCAGGACCCUCUGAAGCGGGAGGGAUCCCAGGAGACAGAGAUACAGGUUGUGUAGACCUCAUUGUCCUCGGGAUUAAAGUCCAGAUGCCAAUCAUAAUUUGCAAGUCUCUUCAAGAUCUGGCGGCUGCUAAAUGAGGAGAUGUCGGUCAGAGGGUACACUUGUGUUUAUGAGUAAGUUCUAGAGACCUAACAGCGUGGUGAUUAUAGUUAAUCAGACUGUAUUAUAUACUUGAAAGUUGCUAGGAGGGUCGAUCUUAAAUGUUCUGAGCACAAACAAGAAAUGGCAUGUGACGGGAUGGACGUGUUAGUGAACACUCUGAUGCUUGUCAUUUCGCAAUAUACAAAUCACGUUGUACGUCUUACACUCACACGGUGUUAUCUGCGAAUUACAGCUCAGGAAAGCUGCAAAAACAAAGGUCCGGCUGCUGUUUUUACCUCUCAGCGCUCCCCCAACCCCUGUUCCUUUGUACCUGACAGCCGGUUAUCAUUUUUUAAUUUUUAUUUGGAAAGAAUUUCCAAUUUAGAAAACACUGGAAGAAUGAAAAUAGCACAAGGAGCACUUGUAUAAGCCUAUUGUUAAUAUUUUAUCCCAUUGCCUUUAUCAUUUGGGUUCUCUGCCCGCACGCACACAUCAUGUGUAUACAUUAUCCACACACACGUAUGUGCACAUUACAUAUAUACAUCCUGAAUACCAUCUUAUACUCGCACAUACACACUCCUGUCUGAGCCACGCGAGGGGAGGUUGUAUGUAUCAUGAUCCUUUACUCCUACACUUCAGUGAAUUUCCUAAGCAGAGAGACAUCCUCUCCCACAGCCAGAGAAUGGCUUUGUUUCCUACAUGGAACAGUGUUACAAUACUUUUUUUUUUUUUAGGAAGGGGAGAAAGUGAGCGCGCGGAGGGAAGGGGAGAGGGGGAAGGUGAGGGAGAAGCAGACUCCCCGCUGAGCACGAAGCCCCAACGUGGGGCUCGUGGGGCUCGAUCUCAGAACCCUGAGGUCAUGACCUGAGCCGGAACCAAGAGUCAGACGCUCAACCGGCUGAGCCAGCCAGGCGCCCCUAGAGUCAAUCAAUACUUUAAUCCACACUGAUGCCCUUUAGAACAUUUCUUCCCUUCCAGUACAGGAGCUACUCUAGCGUCAGGUGUUGCAUGGCGUUGUUCUUUCUUUCUUUUUUUUUUUUUAAAGAUUUUAUUUAUUUAUUCGACAGAGAUAGAGACAGCCAGUGAGAGAGGGAACACAAGCAGGGGGAGUGGGAGAGGAAGAAGCAGGCUCAUAGCAGAGGAGCCUGAUGUGGGGCUCAAUCCCAUAACCCUGGGAUCACGCCCUGAGCCGAAGGCAGACGCUUAACCGCUGUGCCACCCAGGCGCCCCGGCGUUGUUCUUUCUAUGUAGCCUGCGUUAAUCUGGAACACCCCACGCAUUUGGGUCUUUAUGACCUUGCUGUUUUUGCACAGAUCACUUCCCCCUCCCGCCAAUAUAAAUAUUCACGUUUUUCUUUCCUGCCAACAUUUCUCAGCAGAAGGCUCCUCAUGCUGUGCUUACCUGGUGUUUCCUCAUGAUUAGAUCGGGGCUCUGCAAUCUGGGGGCGCGCAGCUGAUAUCUGUCUCUCAUUGGUGAUGCGAAUUUCAAUCACCAGUUCAAGGUGGUGCCCGAGGUCUCGACCCUAUAGCUACUUUUUUUUCUCCUUUGCAUAUAAUAAACAGUCUGUGGGGAGACA